GAUGAACGCUGGCGGCGUGCUUAACACAUGCAAGUCGAACGGGAAUUAUUUUAUUGAAACUUCGGUCGAUUUAAUUUAAUUCUAGUGGCGGACGGGUGAGUAACGCGUGGGUAACCUGCCUUAUACAGGGGGAUAACAGUCAGAAGUGGCUGCUAAUACCGCAUAAGCGCACAGAGCUGCAUGGCUCAGUGUGAAAAACUCCGGUGGUAUAAGAUGGACCCGCGUUGGAUUAGCUGGUUGGUGGGGUAACGGCCCACCAAGGCGACGAUCCAUAGCCGGCCUGAGAGGGUGAACGGCCACAUUGGGACUGAGACACGGCCCAGACUCCUACGGGAGGCAGCAGUGGGGAAUAUUGCACAAUGGGGGAAACCCUGAUGCAGCGACGCCGCGUGAAGGAAGAAGUAUCUCGGUAUGUAAACUUCUGUCAGCAGGGAAGAUAGUGACGGUACCUGACUAAGAAGCCCCGGCUAACUACGUG
This 478-nucleotide ribosomal RNA is filed under the name uncultured bacterium. Its description in RNAcentral is "partial 16S ribosomal RNA". It matches the Rfam family "Bacterial small subunit ribosomal RNA", at positions 28 to 507 of the family's 1533-position model. The record is from RNAcentral.